RNAcentral lists this long non-coding RNA (507 nucleotides) under Zea mays. RNAcentral's name for it is "drought-responsive long non-coding RNA". Lineage: Eukaryota; Viridiplantae; Streptophyta; Magnoliopsida; Poales; Poaceae. The record is from RNAcentral.
UAGGACUAACCAGUGUUUCUAGCUGUAGACAUAACUAUAUAUCGAAAAAGAAAUCCUUUUAUACACUUAACAAAUAGGGGGAAAACUUUGCCUUAAUUUUUUUUGUAAAGGUUCAAUUAAGUAUACAAGAAAUCAAUCUGGUUUGGCGAAAAAAGAAGCAGAUAAAGAAAAACCUUAAAUCUACCUCUUGUCGAAUCUGCAUGCGCUCCAGCAACUUGAUCACAUCCAGACCGACCUUGUACGCGUACACCUUGCACUCCACAAGACCUACCAUGGUGGAUGCGAUGGUGAUCUGGUUGCCCAGCUUCGCGAGUUGCCGCACAACGAACUUGCCCAUGUACCACGUGUUUCCUUGAAGAGCGUCGACAAGCGAGCAACGAUGGCAGCCUCACCGCUAGCGAAGAUGCUGAGGGUGGAAUUGCAAACUCAGUCACCGGCACACCACCAGGGAUAACUGAGCAGUGCGACAACAGUGGCUAUCCCGGUGGCGGCGGUGAGGGUGGGAUC